AUUGAACGCUGGCGGCAGGCCUAACACAUGCAAGUCGAACGGUAGCACAGAGAGCUUGCUCUCGGGUGACGAGUGGCGGACGGGUGAGUAAUGUCUGGGAAACUGCCCGAUGGAGGGGGAUAACUACUGGAAACGGUAGCUAAUACCGCAUAACGUCGCAAGACCAAAGUGGGGGACCUUCGGGCCUCACACCAUCGGAUGUGCCCAGAUGGGAUUAGCUAGUAGGUGGGGUAAUGGCUCACCUAGGCGACGAUCCCUAGCUGGGCUGAGAGGAUGACCAGCCACACUGGAACUGAGACACGGUCCAGACUCCUACGGGAGGCAGCAGUGGGGAAGAUUGCGCAAGGGGCGCAAGCCUGAUGCAGCCAUGCCGCGUGUAUGAAGAAGGCCUUCGGGUUGUAAAGUACUUUCAGCGGGGAGGAAGGCGGUGAAGUUAAUAACUUCACCGAUUGACGUUACCCGCAGAAGAAGCACCGGCUAACUCCGUGCAGCCGCCGCCGUAA
Molecule: ribosomal RNA, 503 nt
Filed under: uncultured bacterium
Lineage: Bacteria
Description: partial 16S ribosomal RNA
Rfam family: Bacterial small subunit ribosomal RNA
Source: RNAcentral